Ipomoea nil (Japanese morning glory) is the source of this 82-nucleotide transfer RNA. It matches the Rfam family "tRNA". From Rfam's summary of the family: Transfer RNA (tRNA) molecules are approximately 80 nucleotides in length. Their secondary structure includes four short double-helical elements and three loops (D, anti-codon, and T loops). The record is from Rfam. NCBI's taxonomy places the organism in Eukaryota, Viridiplantae, Streptophyta, Magnoliopsida, Solanales, Convolvulaceae.
GUUGCUUUGGCAGAGUGGUUAAGGCGUGUGCCUGCUAAGUACAUGGGGUUUCCACGCGAGAGUUUGAAUCUCUCUAGCAACG